Molecule: ribosomal RNA, 599 nt
Filed under: uncultured bacterium
Lineage: Bacteria
Description: bacterial SSU rRNA
Rfam family: Bacterial small subunit ribosomal RNA
Source: RNAcentral
UCGAGCGGAAACGAGUUAUUUGAACCUUCGGGGAAUGAUAACGGCGUCGAGCGGCGGACGGGUGAGUAAUGCCUGGGAAUAUGCCUUGAUGUGGGGGAUAACCAUUGGAAACGAUGGCUAAUACCGCAUAAUCUCUUCGGAGCAAAGAGGGGGACCUUCGGGCCUCUCGCGUCAAGAUUAGCCCAGGUGGGAUUAGCUAGUUGGUGAGGUAAUGGCUCACCAAGGCAACGAUCCCUAGCUGGUCUGAGAGGAUGAUCAGCCACACUGGAACUGAGACACGGUCCAGACUCCUACGGGAGGCAGCAGUGGGGAAUAUUGCACAAUGGGCGCAAGCCUGAUGCAGCCAUGCCGCGUGUGUGAAGAAGGCCUUCGGGUUGUAAAGCACUUUCAGUAGGGAGGAAGGUGUUGUCGUUAAUAGCGGCAUCAUUUGACGUUACCUACAGAAGAAGCACCGGCUAACUCCGUGCCAGCAGCCGCGGUAAUACGGAGGGUGCGAGCGUUAAUCGGAAUUACUGGGCGUAAAGCGCAUGCAGGUGGUGAGUUAAGUCAGAUGUGAAAGCCCGGGGCUCAACCUCGGAACUGCAUUUGAAACUGGCUUA